Molecule: ribosomal RNA, 498 nt
Filed under: uncultured bacterium
Lineage: Bacteria
Description: bacterial SSU rRNA
Rfam family: Bacterial small subunit ribosomal RNA
Source: RNAcentral
CUACGUGCCAGCAGCCGCGGUAAUACGUAGGGUGCGAGCGUUAAUCGGAAUUACUGGGCGUAAAGCGAGCGCAGACGGUUACUUAAGCAGGAUGUGAAAUCCCCGGGCUCAACCUGGGAACUGCGUUCUGAACUGGGUGACUAGAGUGUGUCAGAGGGAGGUAGAAUUCCACGUGUAGCAGUGAAAUGCGUAGAGAUGUGGAGGAAUACCGAAGGCGAAGGCAGCCCCUUGGGAAUGUACUGACGCUCAUGUGCGAAAGCGUGGGGAGCAAACAGGAUUAGAUACCCUGGUAGUCCACGCUGUAAACGAUGUCGAUUUGGGGGUUGAACUUUGAGUUUGGCGCCCGUAGCUAACGUGAUAAAUCGACCGCCUGGGGAGUACGGCCGCAAGGUUAAAACUCAAAUGAAUUGACGGGGGCCCGCACAAGCGGUGGAGCAUGUGGUUUAAUUCGAUGCAACGCGAAGAACCUUACCUACUCUUGACAUCCAGAGAACAUUC